Long non-coding RNA from Bos taurus (domestic cattle), 1276 nucleotides. NCBI's taxonomy places the organism in Eukaryota, Metazoa, Chordata, Mammalia, Artiodactyla, Bovidae. The record is from Ensembl.
CCCGGCACUGCCAAAAAUAAAUAAAUAAAUAAAAUUUAUUAAAAAAAAUUGUGAAUCACUAUGUUGGACACCUGAAGCUUAUAUAAUAUUUUACAUCAAGUCAUACCUCAGUAAAACACAAAAGAGUUGUGGGAAUUCCCUGGUGGUCCAGUGGUUAGGACUCAGCGCUUUCACUGCUGUGGCCCACAUUCAAUCCCUGAUUGAACUAAGAUCCCUCAAGCACACGGUGCACCAAAGAGGGGGAAAAUGUUCCAGUUACUCCGCAUCCUCACCCACGUUUGUCAUUCUCUUGUUCUUCUUCCCUGACUCUGAGUCCGGGACGGGUGGACAGCAGAGGAGACAGAGGAUGGAGAAGGGAGAGGAAGGGGCUUGGGAGGCAGUGGUGCUAGACUCCGGCCAUCGGGGCCUGGAACACAAGGCGUCUUGACGCUUGAGCCCGGGGAACGGUGAGGAAGAUGCCAGGGGUCCCACUUCCUGUGACAGGAGUGAGAGGAGAUUCUGUUUAGAUCUCAAGGGCCAGGGCCAUCCCAGCUGGCACACAGCUCACGGCCUGGGCACUUGGUCCCUGCCUGAAUUUACCUCGUGGGCAGACCAUCUCCAGGCCAAGGGAGGAAGGCCUGGAGGGCUGGGAUCAGCGCAAGGGGCCGUAAGGGGCUGCACGCCUGGGUGACUCUGCCUGUGGGCGGGCCCCCCGCCCCUCCCUGAGUAGACACUGCCACCUUCUGGCCUUUGUUGAUCAACUGCCCCACCCCAUCCCAGGAGGAGCUUUGUCUUAAUCAAGAAAGGGAACUGAAAUGAGGUUUCCUUUACGUAAGUGAACCUGUGUGUGUGUGUGUGUGUGUUUAGUCACUGACUAUGACCCCCACGGACUGUAGCCCACCAGGGUUGCACAGAGUCAGAUGUAACUGAAGCGACUUUGCAUGCAUACAUACAAGGGCACUCUGAGGUUGUCUCUAUUCCGCAGGCUCGACCCAGGGUUUCAGAAGCUGUCCAGACUGUGACGUCCGGCAGGGCAGACACACAUCAGCCCUUUUGCUCCCCAAGGGCCCCGUGGGGUGACCGUGAGUGACAGUAACAGGGAAAGAGACAUGGUAGGAGAUGGGAGGAACCACCCCUCUGUUCCUGGGGAGUGUUCCUGGGGGCUGCGCCUCUGACCAUCAGACCUAAAAGGACCAGGUCCUGCUGACACACCCCCAACCCCACUGGCCAUCCUCUUUCUGGAAUUUUCUGCAAACCAUUUUUUUUUAAAUGGUCUUUCAGCCACGUCUGACUGUUU